GAUGAAGAACGUAGCGAAAUGCGAUACUUGGUGUGAAUUGCAGAAUCCCGUGAACCAUCGAGUCUUUGAACGCAAGUUGCGCCCGAAGCCAUUAGGCCGAGGGCACGCCUGCCUGGGCGUCACACGUCGUUGCCCCCCCAUCUACUCCUUCGGGAUUGCGGGGGGCGGAUGAUGGCCUCCCGUGCGCCUCGUCGCGCGGUUGGCAUAAAUGCCAAGUCCUCGGCGACGCACGCCCCGACCAUCGGUGGUUGCGAAACCUCGGUUGCCCGUCGUGUGCGGUCGUCGCGCAUCGAGGGCUCGAAAAAAUUGCCGGGCUCCGGCUCGGCUUUCAACGCGACCCCAGGUCAGGCGGGGUUACCCGCUGAAUUUAAGCAUAUCAAUAAGCGGAGGA
Molecule: unclassified non-coding RNA, 391 nt
Filed under: soil metagenome
Description: partial contains 5.8S ribosomal RNA, internal transcribed spacer 2, and large subunit ribosomal RNA
Rfam family: 5.8S ribosomal RNA (bases 1-122)
Source: RNAcentral